This 389-nucleotide unclassified non-coding RNA is filed under the name uncultured fungus. RNAcentral's name for it is "partial contains small subunit ribosomal RNA, internal transcribed spacer 1, and 5.8S ribosomal RNA". The stretch from base 1 to 73 matches the Rfam family "Eukaryotic small subunit ribosomal RNA", at positions 1759 to 1831 of the family's 1831-position model. The record is from RNAcentral. Lineage: Eukaryota; Fungi.
UCAAACUUGGUCAUUUAGAGGAAGUAAAAGUCGUAACAAGGUAUCCGUAGGUGAACCUGCGGAUGGAUCAUUACCAAUUUUUAUAUAUUAGUGUUUGCCUGCGCUUCGGUGUAGGUAAAUAACUACUAUUGUAAACGUUGAACUAGAUCAUUGGUUGUGGAUUGCUUGGGAAUGGAAGAAGCGACAAGCCUCUUCCGGACAGGCAACCCCACACCGAUAACCUUUUCAUACAUAUUACAACUAGUACAUACUACAAACAAACAACAAACAAAAGCUAUAAUAGGAUUUAUAUACGAGUCGAGUGGGUAAAAGCCUCGGCUUCAAAACAAAUAACUAUUACAACUUUCAACAAUGGAUCUCUUGGCUCUCGCAUCGAUGAAGAACGCAGC